RNAcentral lists this non-coding RNA (1646 nucleotides) under Saccharomyces cerevisiae YJM1336. Its description in RNAcentral is "15S ribosomal RNA". It matches the Rfam family "Bacterial small subunit ribosomal RNA". The record is from RNAcentral. RNAcentral also lists the same sequence under 1 other name. Lineage: Eukaryota; Fungi; Ascomycota; Saccharomycetes; Saccharomycetales; Saccharomycetaceae.
GUAAAAAUUUUAUAAGAAUAUGAUGUUGGUUCAGAUUAAGCGCUAAAUAAGGACAUGACACAUGCGAAUCAUACGUUUAUUAUUGAUAAGAUAAUAAAUAUGUGGUGUAAACGUGAGUAAUUUUAUUAGGAAUUAAUGAACUAUAGAAUAAGCUAAAUACUUAAUAUAUUAUUAUAUAAAAAUAAUUUAUAUAAUAAAAAGGAUAUAUAUAUAAUAUAUAUUUAUCUAUAGUCAAGCCAAUAAUGGUUUAGGUAGUAGGUUUAUUAAGAGUUAAACCUAGCCAACGAUCCAUAAUCGAUAAUGAAAGUUAGAACGAUCACGUUGACUCUGAAAUAUAGUCAAUAUCUAUAAGAUACAGCAGUGAGGAAUAUUGGACAAUGAUCGAAAGAUUGAUCCAGUUACUUAUUAGGAUGAUAUAUAAAAAUAUUUUUAUUUUAUUUAUAAAUAUUAAAUAUUUAUAAUAAUAAUAAUAAUAUAUAUAUAUAAAUUGAUUAAAAAUAAAAUCCAUAAAUAAUUAAAAUAAUGAUAUUAAUUACCAUAUAUAUUUUUAUAUGGAUAUAUAUAUUAAUAAUAAAAUUAAUUUAUUAUUAUUAAUAAUAUAUUUUAAUAGUCCUGACUAAUAUUUGUGCCAGCAGUCGCGGUAACACAAAGAGGGCGAGCGUUAAUCAUAAUGGUUUAAAGGAUCCGUAGAAUGAAUUAUAUAUUAUAAUUUAGAGUUAAUAAAAUAUAAUUAAAGAAUUAUAAUAGUAAAGAUGAAAUAAUAAUAAUAAUUAUAAGACUAAUAUAUGUGAAAAUAUUAAUUAAAUAUUAACUGACAUUGAGGGAUUAAAACUAGAGUAGCGAAACGGAUUCGAUACCCGUGUAGUUCUAGUAGUAAACUAUGAAUACAAUUAUUUAUAAUAUAUAUUAUAUAUAAAUAAUAAAUGAAAAUGAAAGUAUUCCACCUGAAGAGUACGUUAGCAAUAAUGAAACUCAAAACAAUAGACGGUUACAGACUUAAGCAGUGGAGCAUGUUAUUUAAUUCGAUAAUCCACGACUAACCUUACCAUAUUUUGAAUAUUAUAAUAAUUAUUAUAAUUAUUAUAUUACAGGCGUUACAUUGUUGUCUUUAGUUCGUGCUGCAAAGUUUUAGAUUAAGUUCAUAAACGAACAAAACUCCAUAUAUAUAAUUUUAAUUAUAUAUAAUUUUAUAUUAUUUAUUAAUAUAAAGAAAGGAAUUAAGACAAAUCAUAAUGAUCCUUAUAAUAUGGGUAAUAGACGUGCUAUAAUAAAAUGAUAAUAAAAUUAUAUAAAAUAUAUUUAAUUAUAUUUAAUUAAUAAUAUAAAACAUUUUAAUUUUUAAUAUAUUUUUUUAUUAUAUAUUAAUAUGAAUUAUAAUCUGAAAUUCGAUUAUAUGAAAAAAGAAUUGCUAGUAAUACGUAAAUUAGUAUGUUACGGUGAAUAUUCUAACUGUUUCGCACUAAUCACUCAUCACGCGUUGAAACAUAUUAUUAUCUUAUUAUUUAUAUAAUAUUUUUUAAUAAAUAUUAAUAAUUAUUAAUUUAUAUUUAUUUAUAUCAGAAAUAAUAUGAAUUAAUGCGAAGUUGAAAUACAGUUACCGUAGGGGAACCUGCGGUGGGCUUAUAAAUAUCUUAAAUAUUCUUACA